RNAcentral lists this long non-coding RNA (408 nucleotides) under Gossypium barbadense (sea-island cotton). RNAcentral's name for it is "long non-coding RNA (GBAR_LNC021232)". Lineage: Eukaryota; Viridiplantae; Streptophyta; Magnoliopsida; Malvales; Malvaceae. The record is from RNAcentral.
UAUAAUCUAUUCAAUUAAAUAAAUACAUUUAAAUACUCAAUUCGCAUACCUUCUCAAAUCACAUAUAUAUAAUCGAUUUAAUUAAAUACAUACAUUUAAAUACUCAAUUCGCAUACUUUCUCAAAUUAUACACAUAUAAUCAAUUCAAUUAAAUACAUACAUUUAAAUACUCACUUCGCAUACUUUCUCAAAUCAUAUAUACAUAAUCGAUUUAAUUAAAUACAUACAUUUAAAUACUCAAUUCGCAUACUUUCUCAAAUUAUCCACAUAUAAUCAAUUCAAUUAAAUACAUACCUUUAAAUACUCAAUUCACAUACUUUCUCAAAUCAUAUAUAUAUAAUUGAUUUAAUUAAAUGCAUACAUUUAAAUACUCAAAUUGCAUAUUCAAUGCAUAUUAUCAUACCAAAU